This 498-nucleotide ribosomal RNA is filed under the name uncultured bacterium. RNAcentral describes it as "partial 16S ribosomal RNA". It matches the Rfam family "Bacterial small subunit ribosomal RNA", at positions 36 to 507 of the family's 1533-position model. The record is from RNAcentral.
GCUGCCCCCUUUCUUCUUUCCUAAUACAUGCAAGUCGAGCGAACGGACGAGAAGCUUGCUUCUCUGAUGUUAGCGGCGGACGGGUGAGUAACACGUGGAUAACCUACCUAUAAGACUGGGAUAACUUCGGGAAACCGUAGCUAAUACCGGAUAAUAUCUUUAACCGCAUGGUUCAAAAGUGAAAGACGGUCUUGCUUUCACUUAUAGAUGGAUCCGCGCGGCAUUAGCUAGUUGGUAAGGUAACGGCUUACCAAGGCAACGAUACAUAGCCGACCAUAGAGGGUGAUCGGCCACAUGGGAACGGAGACACGGCCCAAACUCCUACGGGAGGCAGCAGUAGCGAAGCUUCGGCAAUGGACGAAAGGCUAACAGAGCAACGCCGCGGGAGUGAAGAAGGUUGUCGGAUCGUAAAACGCUGUUGGUAGAGAAGAACGUUGGUGAGAGUGGAAAGCUCAUCAAGUGACGGGAACGACCCAGAAAGGAACGGCUAACUACGUG